RNAcentral lists this long non-coding RNA (501 nucleotides) under Homo sapiens (human). Its description in RNAcentral is "long non-coding RNA NONHSAT180005.1". Lineage: Eukaryota; Metazoa; Chordata; Mammalia; Primates; Hominidae. The record is from RNAcentral.
AAGCAACCGUGACAAGUGGUGCCCGACCAGGGACCUGAACGAGGAAGGUCUGCCAGAGCAGAGAAAGUGAAACUGAUCAGACGAACUACGAACCCCUGGACGGGAGAGUCUGCCGGCGGAGAAUAUAAGCCCGUGUCCUCUGUCUCUUGCUUCGGCGCCUGGAUGGCUUGCCGCCCACACAAGAGCACCUUAAAACCAGAACUGCUUAACCUAUUUCUGAGACUCCAAAAAGCUGUUCGCUCUCAUGCUGCCCCUUUUCAUAUUUCUCAUAUCCGAUCUCACACACAACUUCCUGGGGCCACUAUCUCUAGACCCCAGCAGAACGACACUGGCAACUGCUAGAGGAAAAGAGGAGAUGGACAAACCGUGUGGGUGCCCUCCAGGUGUGUGUGACCAUGGAACGGGAGACCGGAGGGAUCCAUGGUAUUCAACCGUGGGCCUGUUACCUCCAGUACGAGCCAUGAGCCAGCGGAAUCUGAAUGCAAAGACAGAACAAGGGCC